RNAcentral lists this long non-coding RNA (346 nucleotides) under Brassica napus (rape). RNAcentral's name for it is "long non-coding RNA (BNAP_LNC009053)". Lineage: Eukaryota; Viridiplantae; Streptophyta; Magnoliopsida; Brassicales; Brassicaceae. The record is from RNAcentral.
GGGAGGGAUUGAAGGGUCUAUUUAGCAAAAGAAAAAAAGUUUGUGGCAAAUAACAAUAUCUACGAAAAUUACGAGGCCUUAAUUCUCGUAGUGUUAUUUUCCUCUUGAGUAAUCACCAUUACCAAGGAACUAGAGCAAGGUUCUUAUCCUUGUACAUGAGGUAUCUUGUGCAUAGCUUCUUUAAUGUUGCAACCGAAUGCUUGUACAUGGACUGGUUCAAACGUGACCAAGUAGUUAAAUCUGGUAGUAGAUCAUUAGAGAAGUAACCAGCGCCACUCUCUCUGUUUAUACAACGGAGUCUCGGACAAUGAAUAAGAGUGUAAUGUGUAAUUCUUAUAAUAAACAU